This 1608-nucleotide long non-coding RNA is filed under the name Solanum pimpinellifolium. Its description in RNAcentral is "long non-coding RNA (SPIM_LNC000076)". The record is from RNAcentral. Lineage: Eukaryota; Viridiplantae; Streptophyta; Magnoliopsida; Solanales; Solanaceae.
UUGUUCCUAAAGUUACCAAGCGAUCUCCAACUCUUCUCUGAAUUUGUAUCCACAUCCACAAGUCCAUCAAGAUACUUUGUUGAACCAAUUUUCUCAAACUGCACUCUUUGCCUGGGUGCGCUAUGCGACCUAAGUUUCGCAAGGUACGAUUCUGUAUUAGACAUAUAGUUGGGGUGACCUAGGUAGUCUGCAAACAAGCUUCGUGAGCACUCGCUUCUCGAAGGAGAGGGGCCUCUUCUACUGCUACUCCCGGGUCUGGACAAUGUGGAGUGCACUCCAGGGCUGUGCUCAACAGUCCAAGCAGUUGGCUGAUCAGUAUCUUGACAAAAUGUCAGUGACCUUAAANUAUGAGCUUCAUGAUGAUACAACGUCUUGCCCACACUGCCAGAGCCGUCCCAUACUUUGUCGGGGUAAGGAACGAAAACUAGGGGAGUGGAUCUAUCCCAAAACUGGGUCAUCUCAGUGGAUAGUCAGGAGUUGUACCUUGGUACAAUCCUAUCCUACGCUGGCUACAUGUCAUCUUCGUGUAAUAAGUAACAUUGGGAUCUGCUUCUUGUUGUGGGGACUACUUAUCUCGAAUGGAGGUGUCAUCCAAAGCAUGGGAUGAAUACUAUUUUGGGCAUUUUCUUCAUCCAUGGGACCCAAAGUAUGUGGAAAGAAAACUUUCUGGAAAUGUAUGAUUGCUCCUUUUUCUUUUUGUCAUUUCAGUUUUGGAUCUUCAGUUUUACUAAUGAUUGAACAACUAUUGGGGUCUAAUGUCAAUCUAAAAGGAAGCAUAAAGUAAAGAACUUUACCCUAACAUAGAAGGCAUAAAUCCCUUCGUGAAUGUAUAGUUCAUUCAUGUGAAGAAAAGUGACUGCAAACUAAUAAUGACCGACCUUUUUUGCUUAGCUGCUGUAAUUAUUGGCAUCCUUUAAUGAGAUUUUAUCAGUUCACUUUAUCAAAAAAAAGAAAGAACAAAAUAAAGUUCUGGAUGUCACACUAGUGUACAUCAGGCAUGUUACAAGUCAUCCUCAACUCUCAAGUGAUGCAAAAAUUGGUAGUAUUAUCAAACAUUGUCACAUGCAAUAAUUAAUAACUUAACAUUGUUACAAGCAAAAUUUAACAACUCAACAGAGGACAAUCCAAGACGACCAUCAAACAAGAUAAUUGCAACCGGUUAUUUUCACUCUACAAACAUAAGCCUUGUCAUCAGCUUGGCAAGUACUUACCUUAGGUCACAUUGAGACCAAGGUUGACUUUUACCACUUGAAUUUGUACUUCAUGAGUAAAUUGCUUCACAACUGUCAAAGGAAGCAUCUCUUUUUAAUGUCUCGGGCCGAAAGGAGAGCCGGAACGGACAGCAUUGUGAUGGCCAGGUGUUCCUACUCGGUCUGAUUGACCCGACCCUGGUUUCUCUUUGUUCCUAAAGUUACCAAGCGAUCUCCAACUCUUCUCUGAAUUUGUAUCCACAUCCACAAGUCCAUCAAGAUACUUUGUUGAACCAAUUUUCUCAAACUGCACUCUUUGCCUGGGUGCGCUAUGCGACCUAAGUUUCGCAAGGUACGAUUCUGUAUUAGACAUAUAGUUGGGGUGACCUAGGUAGUCUGCAAACAAGCUUCGUGAGCA